RNAcentral lists this long non-coding RNA (2043 nucleotides) under Callithrix jacchus (white-tufted-ear marmoset). RNAcentral describes it as "lncRNA (ENSCJAG00000074559.1)". Lineage: Eukaryota; Metazoa; Chordata; Mammalia; Primates; Cebidae. The record is from RNAcentral.
CAUUCAGGUAAUAUGCAAUUAAAUUAUAAAUAAAUGCUCAAAAUGAUGAGUGAGUGAAUGAGCUAUAUAUAAGAAUAAUAACUGGUUGAAGUGUCAUUCAUAGGAUAAAGUAGAAAUCAGUCAAAUGGCUAACAGUAUAAGGAGGGUUAAAUCAGCAUCCAGGUGUGGAAAUAGCUGAUUUGUAUAUAUAGUUUGUUCCAUGUAAAAUAUUUAUAAUGUAGUACUGGAUGAAAAAAUAUAUACUACAUUUUAUGUACAGUAUAAUCUAAAAUUUCCAUGUUUAGUUAAAAAUGCAGGAAUAUAAUUAUCAAAAUUUGAGUACCAAAUUAUGAAUAAUUUUUCUUUCUUUAAUUCAUAUUUACCAAAGACCCUCCAAGGAGAAUAUAUAGUUUUGUAGUUAGAAAAAAAAUGAUUUGUUAAAGAGAUCAUAAAUGACAUAAUACUUUAUAGAAGUUAGAAGCUGAGAUUGUGAGAAUUUCCAGGGACUCCUGCCACCAGCUCAUCUUGCGUCAUCGUUUAUAUGGAAAUGUUGGAACUGAGGUUGCCUGAUGCCCCUCAAUUCCCAGCAGCUUUCUCUCUGGCUCUCAGCCAGCCUGUUAAACAGAAAAUAAUCAGUAAGACAAUUAAAAACACCCUGGUGUUCUGAGAAGUUACACACAAUCGCUUGGUUACCAAGUGUCUACCUCAGAAGUUUCUUUGCCUCCUAGAGUGAGUGUAAUCAUCUGUUUUAAAUUCUGCUUUUGCCAUUUCACAGUCUGAGACGCAGGACUCUGCAUAGGGCAUAGAUGGAUUUCCACGGUCAGCACGAGGAUGGGAGGAGAACGGGGCAGAUCCAGCCCCACUCAGGGAGACCUGGCUGGAGUUACUUGGCUGGCCCUCACUCCAGAGAGCGGAGACCUUCCCUGGACCCGCUACCCAGACAGCCCCCAGUUGGAAAAUGUUUUCUUCUAAGAAUAAUGCAAGACUAGAGAUGGAAAAAUGCGCACUGCAUUUGCCUUUCGGCAUCUGCAAUGACCCAGUCCUUCUUCAGUGCUGCCACAGGGAGCACAUUCACACGCAUGUCACACAAAUACGGGGUUACGUCAAAAACCCAACCUUCUUGGAGAAAGCCACAAAGGCUAUGAGACCAAGCCUUCACCUAGAUGACACCUGACAGUUCAGAAGCUGAGAUCCUGCGAGGUGUCUGGAGAGCUCAGCUGUGACCCAGUGUAUGGACGGGCGGGCAGUGGGGCCAGGCAGGUGAGAGAACUGUCCACUGUUCAGCAUCAUCAGCCUAAAACCCACAUGCUAUUGCUGCAAAACUACUGACACUUGAAACCACAACCACAGAAGCAGAGGCCCUUUAUCAUCCUCAGUGUGCAACUGGUGGCUUUUCAGAAGAUGAAGAUUAAACAUAUAAAUCAAAAUUCAAAGUAUCAGAAGAAAUUCUAGGAGAUUUUCUAACCCCUGCUACCAUGACUUUUUAAAUUUUUAUUUUUGUGAGAUUCGUGAAUUAUUGUAAAUAAGCUCACAGAGGCCAAAGUGCUCCCCUGAAGUCAUCCAGAAAGAGGCAGUCGGCUAAUCCCCACAUCUGAGACAUCCGUGUUUUCUUAUGAUAAUAGAAAAAUUAAAGAUAAGGGAGAGAGAGGGACAGAAAGAGACAGAACGAAUUGGAGCUAAGAGGAAACACUUUCGUGUUUUGCCCGCAAAAUUCCCAGUGAACAUUCCCAUCGCCGGUGGGUGAAAUCCAAGGCCCUGGCUCCAGGAUCCUGCUCUUUCAUUUGGUGACUUCUGUUCAGAUUUGUCAUAAAAACAACAUGGAACUUGUUACCCUUCUCUGGACAAGUUAUGCUCAGGCUUUUCGCUCACAGGCUCCACUUUUCUGGACACCUCUUCAUUCUAAGCGUCAAGUAAUUCAGCUUCACUCUUCAGAGAAGAGCUCAGGUGUCACUUCCUCUAAGGACCCUCCCUAGACACCUCUCCAGUAGAAGGGCCCCCACAUUGCUCUUUGCACCUCUGUCCCUUGAGGUGCUGCUGUCAUCUGUGGAGGGUGGGACACUGGGA